UUUUUUCUUUUCCACAGUUAUAUUUAUACUUAAGGAAAGAUAAUUCUUGCUCAUGAAGCGAUACGUUUCCAGCAACAUGUGGAAAUAAUAUUGUUUGGGAUAAAGCUAUGAUUUUUCCAAAGAGUCCAAGUGAAUUAGGACCCUGUUGUCUCUCUUUGCUGCUAGGCUGGCUGCUCUCUAUUUUAUUCAGAGCUUUGGCUUCUGAGCCUUGUUCUGAACAAGAGCUAACAAUUACUGAGUUAAAUUCCAUCAAUACGCCCGGAAGCUACCCUGCAAUAUCAAAUCCUGUACAUUCUUAUAAAUGUAAUUGCUGGCGCUAUUAAAGCAGCCUACGUUGAAGAUGUGAUAGGUUAUCAAAGCAAGUUCUGUUGCAAUACAGAGGCUAAACACAGCCUAGUACAGAUGGAGAAAAAUGUUUGAUUUUGUAAAGGGCACAGGCUUGCCAGGGGCAUUUGGGACAUUCUAAGGUCUCGUCUACGUGGUGAAACUGUCUGGCAGGACGUCUGUGGGACAGGUAUCUCAGCACCCUCAGACCUUUGCCAAGCCCCCAGCACGUUUCACGUCGGGGUGUGAGCGCUGCUCGCCGUCACGGUGCAGGCAGCCCUGGGGCUGGAAAGCAGCCUGAAUGGAAACUGGCUGCUCAAUGGAGAGAAAAUAACACUGCUUAUGGUGAGCAUCCAACGCGCCUAACGGUUGGCAGAGUCAAACUGGAUGCAAAGGCGGGCUGCAGGUCUAGGAUGAUCAUGGGAUUCCUCUUUGGUCUCGAGGCCCUUCUCUAAGCUGGAGCAGAAUGAAGCCAGGCAAGCUGGUCCCAUCCCGUAGGCGGUGAAGUUGAACCUGCCUUCACCAGCUUCGUCCUCCUGAAACAGAUUCAGCAUGGGACUCUACUUAAAAUGAGAUAUAGACAGUGCACCCUCGCUAUAAGGCUCUCCACUGACGGCUUCCUGCUCUGCAAGGGAAAGACACCUCCGUCAUGCCCCGACCCCAGCGCCCUUGGGCAAACCCCCUGCUCUUGGGAGAUCAGCCUUAUAGAGGGGUGCCAGCUGCGUGACGCACAGAGGCAAAUCAGGGGAUCCAGGCACCCCAUGGAGAACAGGACGGACUUCCACCCCACCGGCUUCUUUGACAUACUUGAACGGUUUGUGCUUGCCCAGAAGGAGUGGGCUCCAUGUAACUCAGGUAGUCGAAGCCAAGGCUUCCUACAGAGUUACAUGGACGCGCAGGCGCCGAGACCCGUCCAGGAAAAGACCUCUGCAGGCAGCGUGCAACCAGCCCUUGGAGCCCCACAGCCCCUCCCCACAA
This is a long non-coding RNA of Chroicocephalus ridibundus (black-headed gull), 1302 nucleotides long. RefSeq lists it as uncharacterized. NCBI's taxonomy places the organism in Eukaryota, Metazoa, Chordata, Aves, Charadriiformes, Laridae. The transcript is spliced from 4 exons. The record is from RefSeq and is a predicted model, not a curated record.